RNAcentral lists this long non-coding RNA (2905 nucleotides) under Homo sapiens (human). Its description in RNAcentral is "PRKCH antisense RNA 2". The record is from RNAcentral. Lineage: Eukaryota; Metazoa; Chordata; Mammalia; Primates; Hominidae.
ACACUAGGGGUUUCUUGGGGAUACGCAGAUGACAAAGACAGUGUCUCUUCAUCCAGGAGCUAAUCAAGAGAAGGGGGAAGAAUCAAGCAAACUUCAUAAUACACAGCCGGAUGAAAUGAAAAGAGACUUAGAUCAAGUGCUGUGAGAGCUUGGAAGAGGCACGGGGCAAAUAACACUGGGGCUGGUGGUGGGAAGGCAAGUGACAGCCUCGUGGAAGAGGUGGCAUUUGACCAGAGAUGAGGACGAACAGAAUUAACAUAGUAGGCAUGAAGGAAGAAAAUGCGCCUGAGGACACAGCCAGCACAAAUGCAGAGGCAUACAAGUGCCUGGUACAGCUGGCAUGCAGGGAUGGCUGAGGAACUGCGGGGGCAGCCGGUGGGAUCCAUCCGAGGCAAACAGGAUUCCUGCAGACAAUGCUCGGAUGAUGAAAUCUGAGAGGCUGGAUGACAGAGAAACCCACAUGCAUACACACACACUUUAUAAAGCUUAGGAACAAAAGCACUUUAUAAUCUCCUUCUGAUGCCAAGUUUACAGUGCUUCCAGAGUCAACAAAGGUGACUCAGGAGAGUGCACCCAGCUCCUUUCAGCACUUAUUUAGCUCAGCCACCUGUGUGAGCUCAAAGACAAGGGUGCCGACUUCACCUGAGUAGACCCUGAGUCACGUGAUUUCUUGCUGGAGAUGAUUCAGCAAAGGAGCACUAACCUCUGAGACAAGGCUUCAGCUUCCUGAGCUCUGCUGACUCGCCUGGGACUUCCCUAAGCCCUUCUGGACCUAGAUGAGGGCAAAACUCAGUGGAACCUCAGAAGCCCUAAAAAAAUGAUAGACUUUCUUUUGUCUCAUCAUUAUCAGCAUUUUGGGAUGAUUUAGUCAGCCUAAGAAACCUGAUGGCAUGUUGACACCAGAAAACAGGUAGUAUAUAUUCCCAAACCAAGUUAAAAAAAAUUAAGAAAUAACAGCUGGAAUGCCUUUUAUUUUUUCUUUACACAAAUGUGUGUGUCAUCGUCAUAUGCCUUUUUUGUGUUAAUUUCUGAGGAUCCUGCCAGUGUGAAUACUCCAUUCUCUGCGAGUCGCAGGUCAGGCUGCUUUUGAGGCAAGCACACGUUAAGUAUUGAGCAGAAACAUUUGAAGCAAAGAUGAGAAAGACAGAAGGGGAAGCAAGAAAAAUAGUCUUCCCAGUGUGCCUAUUUGGGUGCAUAUAAAGUUACUUUUAGAUGUGCGAUUACUGGUUAAUGAUUUGGGGAAUUCUUUUCAAGUAGAAAUCCUGGGCUAAAAACUAAGUGUGCUCAAGCUACCCCCGCACCCACUGAUUCUGCACUCCAUGGGAAAAGUUCUCACAAGCAAGUCCUUUGUCCACUACCCACGUCUAUAGGAAAUGUUUGAACAGCUAUACACAAAGAACUCACAAGUCCACAACCUCGGGGGUGUUGCGGGUGGAGAGGGCAGUGGUAAAGGUGAUGACAGGGAGGGCCUGUGGGGACAGUAAUAUUAGAUUAGUGGUCAGAAGAUGCUGGAGCCUGCCUUGCCAGUCACACACUUUUAGAGGAAUGCUGGACAGUACACACCCUCCCCAACCCUGAAUGUAGGCCCUCGCUGACAUCACGCCAGAUGAAGCCCUGAGGUCUUUAACAUCUGUAACUCUAUGGCAUGUAACAUAAACAGGUGUCUGACCAGUUUCCCCAGAUAUAGAAUAAUAAUAAUACCUUUCAUUUAAAAAGGUAAGAGGGAAUUCAACAAGCUUUCCUUCUUAAAUAAAUCUCCAUCUCAGGAAGCCAUGGAAAGAUGCCCCUCCCACACUAAGACUGUAGAGAGAGGCACUGUGAAGGUCUGGCUUGGAGAUCUCAGCUCUUCCUGCCUCUCAGGGGGAAAGGGCAGAUCCAGCAGGCCGGGAAAGGAUCUCCCAGGGUCCCAAGGAGGCAGCAUGGGGCAAAGUCCAACAGUGAGGAUUCUCUCCUUCUCUGGUCUCUUUUCUGUUAAAAAUGCUUCUUUGGGGUACCCUUCAUUACUACCCUGGAGGUUGAAGGACACUUCUUGAGAAGGCAUAGAUACUCUUCAGGUAUGCUGAAGAAAUGAGUUGUGCUAAAACCACUGGUUAAUUUUGUCUGUGGCAAAAAAUCAUGAGGGUGACAUAGACUCCCAGGCCAGGAACCCGAGACUGGAUUUAAGAGAUGUGGCCAGGAUCCACAGGGGAGCUUGUAUGUGGCUCACAUCAUUAGCUCUUUCUGUAUAUUUGUAUUGUAAACCAUUUCCCUUCAUUUGUGAAGAUGGAGAUCACUUUUUCUAUACAGGCUAGAAAUGUUUCUUCAUACACACACGCUGAGCUUGUUUAUAAAAGAUAUUCAUUUAUAUGGUGGUUUUAACAACUUUUCCAUGUGGAAAUUUUAGACGACAGUAACACAGACCCUCAUGUACUCAUCACUCAGCCUUGAUGGUUACUGACACAUGCCCAAUAUUGUUUCAUCUGUUUCUCCCCACAACUCCUGGAUUAAUUUGAAAGAAAUCCUAGAAGUCACUUAAUCAGCAAAUACUCCAGUCUGUUGGUCCACUCCUUAUACAAUAGCCAGGGUGAUCUUUUACACAUGAAGUAGUGAUUGCAUCACUCAUGCUUGCUUGGAAUUCUUCAAAGACUUACGUUGGCACUUCAGAUAAAGUGUAGACUCCUUCGCGUGACCUAGGAUGUCCUUUGGGCUCUCACUGUUCCCUCAGCCUCCUCACCUGAAGCUCUCACUGCCCCACCCCUUUGCUCAUCACACUCCAACCCGCCUGCCAUUGAGCUACUCAAAUGGACUGCUCCUUUCUCAAGACCUCUGCACACUUUCAAGCCUCAUUUCUCUUCAGCCUUUAUUAAAUGUCAUCUCCUCCAGAUGGCCUCCUUUGGUGGCCCAGGUCAUGUUAGAUCUGCCUGUU